RNAcentral lists this ribosomal RNA (17 nucleotides) under Dendrobium secundum. RNAcentral describes it as "partial 26S ribosomal RNA". The record is from RNAcentral. RNAcentral also lists the same sequence under 70 other names. Lineage: Eukaryota; Viridiplantae; Streptophyta; Magnoliopsida; Asparagales; Orchidaceae.
GCGACCCCAGGAUGGGC